RNAcentral lists this ribosomal RNA (253 nucleotides) under uncultured bacterium. Its description in RNAcentral is "partial 16S ribosomal RNA". It matches the Rfam family "Bacterial small subunit ribosomal RNA", at positions 524 to 776 of the family's 1533-position model. The record is from RNAcentral.
GACAGGGGUCUCGAGCGUUAAUCGGAAUCACUGGGCUUAAAGGGUGCGUAGGCGGACCCGAACGCGUCCCGUGAAAUCCCCCGGCUCAACCGGGGAACUGCGGGGCGAACGGUGGGUCUCGAGGCAGGUAGGGGUCGCCGGAACCGUAGGUGGAGCGGUGAAAUGCGUAGAUAUCUACGGGAACGCCGAUGGUGAAGACGGGCGACUGGGCCUGUCCUGACGCUGAGGCACGAAAGCGUGGGGAGCAAACAGG